RNAcentral lists this ribosomal RNA (268 nucleotides) under uncultured bacterium. RNAcentral's name for it is "partial 16S ribosomal RNA". It matches the Rfam family "Bacterial small subunit ribosomal RNA", at positions 793 to 1055 of the family's 1533-position model. The record is from RNAcentral.
GUCCUGGCAGUAAAACGGUGCACGUUUGGUGUGGGCGCAAUCGACCGCGUCCGCGCCGGAGCUAACGCGUUAAACGUGCCGCCUGGGAAGUACGGUCGCAAGAUUAAAACUCAAAGAAAUUGACGGGGACCCGCACAAGCGGUGGAGUAUGUGGCUUAAUUCGAUGCAACGCGAAGAACCUUACCUGGUCUUGACAUGCAUUGUGUCUCCGGUGAAAGCCGGAUAGGGUAGCAAUACCCGCUUUGCACAGGUGCUGCAUGGCUGUCGU